RNAcentral lists this ribosomal RNA (506 nucleotides) under uncultured bacterium. RNAcentral's name for it is "partial 16S ribosomal RNA". It matches the Rfam family "Bacterial small subunit ribosomal RNA", at positions 28 to 523 of the family's 1533-position model. The record is from RNAcentral.
GAUGAACGCUAGCUACAGGCUUAACACAUGCAAGUCGAGGGGUAACGAGAGGGAAGCUUGCUUUCCUUGUCGACGACCGGCGCACGGGUGAGUAACGCGUAUCCAACCUGCCCCCAACUAGGGAAUAACCUUGCGAAAGUAAGACUAAUACCCUAUAAUUUCCUCAGAUGCCAUCUGACGAGGAAUAAAGAUUUAUCGGUUGUGGAUGGGGAUGCGUCUGAUUAGCGUGUUGGCGGGGUAACGGCCCACCAAGGCAACGAUCAGUAGGGGUGCUGAGAGGCAGGGCCCCCACAUUGGAACUGAGACACGGUCCAAACUCCUACGGGAGGAAGCAGUGAGGAAUAUUGGUCAAUGGGCGGAAGCCUGAACCAGCCAAGUAGCGUGCAGGAUGGCGGCCCUAUGUGUUGUAAACUGCUUUUAUACAGGAAUAAAGUUAGCCACGUGUGGUUAUUUGUAGGUACUGUAUGAAUAAGGACCGGCUAAUUCCGUGCCAGCCGCCGCAGUAA